GACGUAGGGUCCAAGCGUUGUCCGGAUUUACUGGGCGUAAAGAGCGCGUAGGCGGUCUGUUAAGUGUGAAGUGAAAUCUCUAGGGCUCAACCCAGAAACUGCUUUACAUACUGGCAGACUUGAGUGAUGAAGAGGUUUGUGGAAUUCCUGGUGUAACGGUGAAAUGUGUUGAUAUCAGGAGGAACACCCAUGGCGAAGGCAGCAAACUGGUCUCGAACUG
Molecule: ribosomal RNA, 220 nt
Filed under: uncultured bacterium
Lineage: Bacteria
Description: partial 16S ribosomal RNA
Rfam family: Bacterial small subunit ribosomal RNA
Source: RNAcentral